RNAcentral lists this ribosomal RNA (331 nucleotides) under uncultured Actinomycetes bacterium. RNAcentral's name for it is "bacterial SSU rRNA". It matches the Rfam family "Bacterial small subunit ribosomal RNA", at positions 28 to 351 of the family's 1533-position model. The record is from RNAcentral. Lineage: Bacteria; Bacillati; Actinomycetota; Actinomycetes.
GACGAACGCUGGCGGCGUGCUUAACACAUGCAAGUCGAACGAGAAAGCACCUUCGGGUGUGAGUACAGUGGCGAACGGGUGAGUAACACGUGGGCAACCUGCCCCAGAGACCGGGAUAACGCUCCGAAAGGGACGCUAAUACCGGGUGAUGCGCGAUCUGCCAAGUAGGUCGCGCCAAAUGGUAGCUUCGGCUUCUGCUCUGGGAUGGGCCCGCGCCGGAUUAGCUUGUUGGUGAGGUAACGGCUCACCAAGGCGACGAUCCGUAGCUGGUCUGAGAGGACGAUCAGCCACACUGGGACUGAGACACGGCCCAGACUCCUACGGGUGGCUG